CCUACGGGUGGCAGCAGUAGGGAAUAUUGCUCAAUGGGGGAAACCCUGAAGCAGCAACGCCGCGUGGAGGAUGAAGGUUUUAGGAUUGUAAACUUCUUUUGUUCGAGAAGCUUAUGACGCUAUCUAAAGAAUAAGCACCGGCUAACUACGUGCCAGCAGCCGUGGUAAUACGUAGGGUGCAAGCGUUAUUCGGAAUCACUGGGCGUAAAGAGUGCGUAGGUGGGGUAAUAAGUCAGAUGUGAAAUCCUGUAGCUUAACUACAGAACUGCAUUUGAAACUGUUACUCUAGAGUGUGGGAGAGGUAGGUGGAAUUCGUGGUGUAGCGGUGAAAUGCGUAGAGAUCGAGAGGAAUACUGAUUGCGAAGGCGGCCUACUGGAACAUUACUGACGCUGAGGCACGAAAGCGUGGGGAGCAAACAGGAUUAGAUACCCUGGUAGUC
Molecule: ribosomal RNA, 440 nt
Filed under: uncultured bacterium
Lineage: Bacteria
Description: partial 16S ribosomal RNA
Rfam family: Bacterial small subunit ribosomal RNA
Source: RNAcentral